GGAGAGCUGUCCGAGCGGCUGAAGGAGCAUGAUUGGAAAUCAUGUAUAGGACGAACGUUCUAUCGAGGGUUCAAAUCCCUCGCUCUCCGCCA
This 92-nucleotide transfer RNA is filed under the name Megasphaera cerevisiae. RNAcentral's name for it is "tRNA-Ser". It matches the Rfam family "tRNA". Rfam says of the family: Transfer RNA (tRNA) molecules are approximately 80 nucleotides in length. Their secondary structure includes four short double-helical elements and three loops (D, anti-codon, and T loops). The record is from RNAcentral. Lineage: Bacteria; Bacillati; Bacillota; Negativicutes; Veillonellales; Veillonellaceae. RNAcentral also lists the same sequence under 1 other name.